CGCGGCCUAUCAGCUUGUUGGUGAGGUAAAGGCUCACCAAGGCUACGACGGGUAGGCGGUGUGAGAGCACGAUCGCCGACAUGGGCACUGCGACACGGGCCCAACUCCUACGGGAGGCAGCAGUCGAGAAUCUUCGGCAAUGGGCGAAAGCCUGACCGAGCGACGCCGCGUGCGGGAAGAAGGCCUUCGGGUUGUAAACCGCUUUUCUGAAGGAAGAACUACGGUGACUGUACUUCAGGAAUAAGGGGCUGCUAAUCACGUGCCAGCAGCAGCGGUAACACGUGAGCCCCAAGCGUUGUCCGGAGUUACUGGGCGUUAAGGGUCCGUAGGGGGCCGUAUUAGCCCUGUGUUAAACCCAACAGCUUAACUGUUGGCCUGCGCAGGAAACGGUACGGCUAGAGGGCGUGAGAGGCUGAUGGAACCCACGGUGUAGGAGUGAAAUCCGUUGAUAUCGUGGGGAACACCAAUGGCGAAGGCAUUCAGCUGGCGCGACCCUGACCCUGAGGGGCGAAAGCGUGGGGAGCAAAGAGGAUUAGAUACCCUCGUAGUCCACGCCGUAAACGCUGGACACUAGCUGUGUGUAGUGUCGACCCUACACGUAGCGAAGCUAACGCGUUAAGUGCCCCGCCUGGGGAGUACGG
RNAcentral lists this ribosomal RNA (641 nucleotides) under uncultured Actinomycetes bacterium. RNAcentral's name for it is "bacterial SSU rRNA". It matches the Rfam family "Bacterial small subunit ribosomal RNA", at positions 232 to 885 of the family's 1533-position model. Lineage: Bacteria; Bacillati; Actinomycetota; Actinomycetes. The record is from RNAcentral.